AGGUUAUAUUUUUCGUGAUAGAGUAGCGUACUUGAUUAGGCAAGCUUGUCUAUUGGUAAUGUUGUUAUAUCAACCUCCAUAUUUUGCCUUAGAAAUCCUAUUCUUAUCAAAGAGUAUCUCAUGUGCCGCCACUUCCUAAUCGAAGUUUCAGAAUCGUAUUCAUGGGCAGUCUAACAGACAACAAAAUGUGAUGUAAACAUUACUUUGCGUGGAUUUUUUUUUUCUUAAUAAAAUAUUUCACUGUAUUGAUAAGCUCAAAAGAAUUACACAAAAAUGGAGGACAAGCGCGCUACAAGUCCUUUCUGAAUAGCAAAACCAAUCCUUCUGAAAACAUAUUCAUUCGACCCAGCAGUCAAGACAUUGCUAUCCAUGAUUUGUACCCUCCUGAGGAGCUCAACCGUUUCUGAUGCCACAAACCCGAACGUGUCGAAGGCAAACAGGAUGAAACCAUGCUGGUUUGUCUUAAACGCUCGAAAAAAAGUUUUUUUUUUUUUUUUUUUUUUUUGAUAAAUAAAAAGUAUUCCUUGAUAUAAAGCAUUAGCAGUUGCAUUAAGAAGAAAAUGAACAAGAGCUAGCUAGUAACUAAUCCUAAACUCCCCACCCACAAAGAAAGGUACCCCCUUUAAAAUGUUAUUUUCUUCAUAAGUGACGCGGUGGAAGUUAGGGUAUUGAAGACUAUGUGGUAGUUUAGUCCCACAUAGCUUAGAUAUAAAGUCUAUGUGGUUUCUCCCUAUAAUAUAAAGAGUUAGCUUCUUUGUAAGUUUAACCUAAUUAUUAUCAAUAUCAUUCAUCUUUUAUAUUUCUAGUUGGUAUCACAGCCAAGUUAGGUCAUGGUUUUCGGCCACCGACAACACUAACUCACAUGCCGGUGGCCGGAUCUCCGACAAAGUCUUUUUGUCAAAUUUGUGUUUUUUGUUUCUGCUGUUCUUCUGCACCUUGUGCUGCUGCGUCAUCGUAUAUUUUUCACGAUACUGUUCACAGAUCACUGUUCAUAGAGUAUUGUUUAUAAUUUAUAAUGACUUCUAAAUAAACAUUAACCCAAAUAGGAAACCAAUUGGUGUUGGUAGGAUGUCCUACAUCAGUCCCCCAUCUUCAAAAGAAUUCGUCCUCGAAUUUAUGUUGUAUUGAUAUCGUCCGCUCUAUAAGAAAAAAUAUUUUGAAUAACACGAACUCUUGUAAACUUUCCUCAUAUUAAUGUAAGUUAUAGUUCCGUCUUUUGAUUCAAAACCUUGAACUUAGAGAACAAAAAGAACUUUUUGUGAUAAUAUAUGAUCAAUUCCAAUAAAAUCAUAAUGAUGAACAUCUAGAGUCAAUGAAUCUUUCGCAGCGAUUUCAACUUUAUGAUAUUUGUCUUUAAUAAAAAUUGGUUUUUCUUUAUCAAUUUUUGCCACAAUAUUUGAAGAAUCUUCCUUCAAACUCGGUGGCUCUCCAUUAUAACAUUUUUCUUCUUCAAGACAAACAUGAUUUGUUCGUGGAAUAAAUGUGGUUGAAAGUGGGGUUUGACUUUGAGAUUGAGAGGGAGAAGCAAUGGUGGUAUAGGUUGUGGCAACUUGUGGAGUAAUGGAAAGGUGAGAUGGUUGGGAGGUAUUACAAGGUUGUGAAUAUUGGUAGUUGUAAUAUUGGGGGUGUAAGGCUAGGUUUUGUAAUGGUUGAGGGUUGACAUUAAUAAAGGGAGAUGAGAAACCAAUAUAGGAAACUUGUUGUAAAGUUGUGGUGGUGGUGGAAAAUUGUGGUGAUAUGGGUGGUUGGGUGGUGGUUGAGAUAGAGUGGCCAUGAAAGAGGGUGGGAGGAUGGGAGGACCAAAUCGAAGAGUAAGAUUGUCGAUUAAAGCGGUGAGACGAUCAAUAGCCGAAAUGAAUUCAACCUUCGUCAUAUAAUCUCCAAGAUUUCCAACUUGGGGGCGAGGUGAAGAAUCUCCGUCAUUAACCAUUGUUGUAGGAUCAAAACGAAGCUUUGAUACCAAUUGACAUAGCGGAAGUGAUUAAAAAUCAAACCUUGAAUAACCCAAGGGGAGGAUUGCCUUGAAACAAAGAAGAACUAAAACAAAACUAAAGAAAAUAAAUUGUAGAGACAAAUCUUAAAUGUAUUGAUUGAAUAAUUGAAUAAUUAUGUUUUUGGCUCUACAAGGUUUGUCCCUUUAUAUAAACAUAAAGAUCUAAAUCAACUAGCACUAGGAAUUCCUAAAACAAAGAAAUUAAAAUAGAAAUCCUAAAAUUAUAAUUUAUAAUGACUUCUAAAUAAACAUUAACCCAAAUUGGAAACCAAUUGGUGUUGGUAGGAUGUCCUACAUCAAGUUUAGUCUCACAUAGCUUAGAUAUAAAGUCUAUGUGGUUUCUCUCUAUAUAUAGAGAGAGUUAGCUUCUUGUACGGUUAACCUAAUUAUUAUCAAUAUCAUUCAUCUUUUAUAUUUCUAGUGAUUAGGCAAGCUUGUCUAUUUGUAAUGUUGUUAUAUCAACCUCCAUAUUUUGCCUUAGAAAUCCUAUUCUUAUCAAAGAGUAUCUCAUGUGCCGCCUCUUCCUAAUCGAAGUUUCAGAAUCGUAUUCAUGGGCAGUCUAACAGACAACAAAAUGUGAUGUAAACAUUACUUGGCAUGGAUUCUUUUUUUCUUUUCUCUUCUUUUUUUUAAUCAAAAACAAAUAUUAUUGAUAAAAGAAGAAUUACAUAAAGCUAGAGGACAAGUGCGCUACAAACUGCGCUUGAUAAAUAAAAAGUAUUCCUUGAUAUAAAGCAUUAGCAGUUGCAUUAAGAAGAAAAUGAACAAGAGCUAGCUAGUAACUAAUCCUAAACUCCCC
RNAcentral lists this long non-coding RNA (2792 nucleotides) under Aquilegia coerulea. RNAcentral's name for it is "long non-coding RNA (ACOE_LNC001732)". The record is from RNAcentral. Lineage: Eukaryota; Viridiplantae; Streptophyta; Magnoliopsida; Ranunculales; Ranunculaceae.